RNAcentral lists this long non-coding RNA (716 nucleotides) under Marmota monax (woodchuck). Lineage: Eukaryota; Metazoa; Chordata; Mammalia; Rodentia; Sciuridae. The record is from RNAcentral.
CUUAUAUUGUUUUCCUUCUUUGUUUCAUUUAUUUUUGCUCUGAAACAUUAGUUCUUUCCAUUUUCUAAUUUUGGGCUUAGAUUUUUCUUCUUUAUCUAGUUCCUUGAAUUGUAACAGUAGAUUGUUAACUUGAGAUACUUAUUAUUUCUUGGCAUAUUUAUUGAUAUAAACUUCAUUCUUAGAACUGAUUUUGCUCUGUUACUUAAGUUUUCAUAUAUUCUAUUUCCAUUCUAAUUCAUCUCAAGAUUUCUUUUUAACCUCCCCCCCCCCACCUUUUUUCCAUCUUGGACCCAUUGGUUGUUUUGAAGCAUGUGAUUUAAUUUCUGCAUAUUAGGACUUUUCAAAAUUCUUCCUUUUGUUGACUUUUAGUUUUAUACCAUUUUAGUUGAAAAGGACAUUUGAGAUGAUUUCAAUCUAUCUAAAUUUGUUAAGACUUAUUUUGUGGUCUAACAUAUAUUCUGAAGAAUGUUCCAUGUAUACUUGAAAAGGACAUGUAUUUUUAUUAUUUGAUGAAAUAUUCCACAUAGGCUAUUAGGUCCAUUUAGUCUAAAGUUUAGUUCUAGUCCAGUAUUUCCUUAUUGAUCUUCUGUCUGGAUGAUCAUUGCAUUCUGAAAAUGAAAUAUUGAAGUCAAGUUUCUCCACACUAUUAUUACAUUGCAAUCUGUCUCUCUCUUCACAUAUAUUACUAUUUGCUUAUACAUUUAGGUGCUCUGAUA